Molecule: ribosomal RNA, 238 nt
Filed under: uncultured bacterium
Lineage: Bacteria
Description: partial 16S ribosomal RNA
Rfam family: Bacterial small subunit ribosomal RNA
Source: RNAcentral
GAUCAGGGCUCAGGAUGAACGCUAGCUACAGGCUUAACACAUGCAAGUCGAGGGGCAGCAUGAACUUAGCUUGCUAAGUUUGAUGGCGACCGGCGCACGGGUGAGUAACACGUAUCCAACCUGCCGAUGACUCGGGGAUAGCCUUUCGAAAGAAAGAUUAAUACCCGAUGGCAUAGUUCUUCCGCAUGGUAGAACUAUUAAAGAACUUCGGUCAUCGAUGGGGAUGCGUUCCAUUAGG